This 255-nucleotide ribosomal RNA is filed under the name uncultured bacterium. Its description in RNAcentral is "partial 16S ribosomal RNA". It matches the Rfam family "Bacterial small subunit ribosomal RNA", at positions 220 to 471 of the family's 1533-position model. The record is from RNAcentral.
AUCAGAUGAGCCUAGGUCGGAUUAGCUAGUUGGUGAGGUAAUGGCCCACCAAGGCGACGAUCCGUAACUGGUCUGAGAGGAUGAUCCAGUCACACUGGAACUGAGACACGGUCCAGACUCCUACGGGAGGCAGCAGUGGGGAAUAUUGGACAAUGGGCGAAAGCCUGAUCCAGCCAUGCCGCGUGUGUGAAGAAGGUCUUCGGAUUGUAAAGCACUUUAAGUUGGGAGGAAGGGCAGUUACCUAAUACGUGAUUG